GCCGGGAUGGCGGAACUGGUAGACGCGCUGGACUCAAAAUCCAGUUCUGGUAACAGAGUGAGGGUUCGAGUCCCUCUCCCGGCACCA
This 87-nucleotide transfer RNA is filed under the name Betaproteobacteria bacterium. Its description in RNAcentral is "tRNA-Leu". It matches the Rfam family "tRNA". Rfam says of the family: Transfer RNA (tRNA) molecules are approximately 80 nucleotides in length. Their secondary structure includes four short double-helical elements and three loops (D, anti-codon, and T loops). RNAcentral also lists the same sequence under 1 other name. Lineage: Bacteria; Pseudomonadati; Pseudomonadota; Betaproteobacteria. The record is from RNAcentral.